RNAcentral lists this ribosomal RNA (467 nucleotides) under uncultured bacterium. RNAcentral describes it as "partial 16S ribosomal RNA". It matches the Rfam family "Bacterial small subunit ribosomal RNA", at positions 328 to 792 of the family's 1533-position model. The record is from RNAcentral.
UGCCCAGACUCCUACGGGAGGCAGCAGCGAGGAAUAUUGGUCAAUGGGCGGGAGCCUGAACCAGCCAAGCCGCGUGAAGGAAGAAGGCACCAAGCGUCGUAAACUUCUUUUGUCGGGGAACAAAGGGCGCCACGUGUGGCGUUGUGAGUGUACCCGAAGAAAAAGCAUCGGCUAACUACGUGCCAGCAGCCGCGGUAAUACGUAGGGAGCAAGCGUUGUCCGGAAUUACUGGGCGUAAAGGGCGCGUAGGUGGGCGCUUAAGUCAGGUGUGAAAACUCCGGGCUCAACCUGGAGACUGCACUUGAAACUGGGUGUCUUGAGGGCAGGAGAGGAAAGUGGAAUUCCUAGUGUAGCGGUGAAAUGCGUAGAUAUUAGGAGGAACACCAGUGGCGAAGGCGACUUUCUGGACUGUACCUGACGCUGAGGCGCGAAAGCGUGGGUAGCGAACGGGAUUAGAUACCCCCGUA